Long non-coding RNA from Equus quagga, 885 nucleotides. RefSeq lists it as uncharacterized. NCBI's taxonomy places the organism in Eukaryota, Metazoa, Chordata, Mammalia, Perissodactyla, Equidae. The record is from RefSeq and is a predicted model, not a curated record. The transcript is spliced from 3 exons.
GCCUCCACCCACCCAGAAAACGUAUCCACCAGUACCAGGAAGUAUCGGUAAUCUCCAGCAGCGCGGGGCGUUCGGGUGAAGCCCAUCUGCCAGUCUUCCAUCGGCCAUUGCCCUGUGUGUCAGACUCCUCAUUGUGGAGGCCCUGGAGCAGUUUUGGGGAGCGGGUAGAGGAGAGCCUCAGGCACAAGAAUUCUUCCUUGGUCGUUCAUCUUCCAGCCUGUCUGCGGGUCUGAGAGGAAACCUCAGUCUCUUGCACAUUCUGAGUCCCUUUCUGAAUCACCCUGUGGGCAUGGACCACUGAAGAUGCAUAACCGGAAUCUGUAUAAGCAGUCACCUUUUUCCCCAAGAUAGUUGUAAGGCUCGGGCUAGGGCUAUGAUUUCUGCCUUUUGAGUUGAGGUUCCUGGAGGCAGGGCUGCAGCUUCUAAAGUCUCACGUAAAGUCACAGCUGCACAUCUGGCGCAUCUCUUACCCCGAUCCAGGAAGCUGCUGCUGUCUGUGAACAGUUCCAGUUCAGGGUUCUCAAAUGGUCGAUCUUUUAGGUCUGGUUGGCUGGAAUAAACCAUUUCUAUGACUUGUAAACAGUUAUGGUCUGUUGCUUGUGAAGUUUCCUUGGGGAGUAAGGUGGCCGGAUUCUGGAUUGAAGAGACUUGCAACCUGACAUUUGGGUUAUCUAGCACGAUGGCCUGAUAUUUGCCCAUUCUGCCUGACGUGAGCCAAUUUCCUCUCUUCUGUUCCAGUAAGGUGAGGACAGGGUGGGGUACAUAGACAGUGGUGGGUUGGCCUGGAGUGACUUUCUCAGCCUCUUGUAGGAUGUCACAAGUAGCAGCGACGGCUCUGAGACAGGGAGGCCAGCCUUUUACCGUUUGAUCUAAUUGUUUGGAGAA